CAUGGUUGUCGUCAGCUCGUGUCGUGAGAUGUUGGGUUAAGUCCCGCAACGAGCGCAACCCCUACGUUUAGUUGCUAACGCGUGAAGGCGAGCACUCUAGACGAACUGCCGUUGACAAAACGGAGGAAGGUGGGAUGACGUCAAAUCAUCAUGCCCCUUAUGUUCUGGGCUACACACGUGCUACAAUGGCCGGUACAGACGGACGCAAAGCCGCGAGGUGGAGCAAAUCCUAAAAAGCCGGUCUCAGUUCGGAUUGCAGGCUGCAAUUCGCCUGCAUGAAGUCGGAAUCGCUAGUAAUCGCAGGUCAGCAUACUGCGGUGAAUACGUUCCCGGGCCUU
This 338-nucleotide ribosomal RNA is filed under the name uncultured Pelotomaculum sp. RNAcentral's name for it is "bacterial SSU rRNA". It matches the Rfam family "Bacterial small subunit ribosomal RNA", at positions 1044 to 1382 of the family's 1533-position model. The record is from RNAcentral. Lineage: Bacteria; Bacillati; Bacillota; Clostridia; Eubacteriales; Desulfotomaculaceae.